GACGAACGCUGGCGGCGUGCUUAACACAUGCAAGUCGAACGGAAAGGCCCUGCUUUUGUGGGGUGCUCGAGUGGCGAACGGGUGAGUAACACGUGAGUAACCUGCCCUUGACUUUGGGAUAACUUCAGGAAACUGGGGCUAAUACCGGAUAGGAGCUCCUGCUGCAUGGUGGGGGUUGGAACGUUUCGGCGGUUGGGGAUGGACUCGCGGCUUAUCAGCUUGUUGGUGGGGUAGUGGCUUACCAAGGCUUUGACGGGUAGCCGGCCUGAGAGGGUGACCGGCCACAAGGGGACUGAGAUACGGACCAGUGUCCUACGGGAGGCAGCAGUGGGGAAUAUUGCACAAUGGGCGGAAGCCUGAUGCAGCAACGCCGCGUGCGGGAUGACGGCCUUCGGGUUGUAAACCGCUUUCGCCUGUGACGAAGCGUGAGUGACGGUAAUGGGUAAAGAAGCACCGGCUAACUACGUG
RNAcentral lists this ribosomal RNA (468 nucleotides) under uncultured bacterium. RNAcentral describes it as "partial 16S ribosomal RNA". It matches the Rfam family "Bacterial small subunit ribosomal RNA", at positions 28 to 507 of the family's 1533-position model. The record is from RNAcentral.